AUACGUAGGGGGCGAGCGUUGUCCGGAAUGAUUGGGCGUAAAGGGCGCGUAGGCGGCCCGGUAAGUCUGGAGUGAAAGUCCUGCUUUUAAGGUGGGAAUUGCUUUGGAUACUGUUGGGCUUGAGUGCAGGAGAGGUUAUCGGAAUUCCCGGUGUAGCGGUGAAAUGCGUAGAGAUCGGGAGGAACACCAGUGGCGAAGGCGGGUAACUGGACUGCAACUGACGCUGAGGCGCGAAAGUGUGGGGAGCAAACAGGAUUAGAUACCCUGGUAGUCCACACUGUAAACGAUGAAUGCUAGGUGUAAGAGGUAUCGACCCCUUUUGUGCCGGAGUUAACACAAUAAGCAUUCCGCCUGGGGAGUACGGCCGCAAGGUUGAAACUCAAAGGAAUUGGCGGGG
Molecule: ribosomal RNA, 397 nt
Filed under: uncultured bacterium
Lineage: Bacteria
Description: partial 16S ribosomal RNA
Rfam family: Bacterial small subunit ribosomal RNA
Source: RNAcentral